This 497-nucleotide ribosomal RNA is filed under the name uncultured bacterium. RNAcentral describes it as "partial 16S ribosomal RNA". It matches the Rfam family "Bacterial small subunit ribosomal RNA", at positions 28 to 507 of the family's 1533-position model. The record is from RNAcentral.
GAUGAACGCUGGCGGCGUGCCUAAUACAUGCAAGUCGAGCGAACGGACGAGAAGCUUGCUCUUCUGAUGUUAGCGGCGGACGGGUGAGUAACACGUGGAUAACCUACCUAUAAGACUGGGAUAACUUCGGGAAACCGGAGCUAAUACUGCAUAAUAUUUUGUACCGCAUGGUUCAAAAGUGAAAGACGGUCUUGCUGUCACUUAUAGAUGGUUCCGCGCUGCAUUAGCUAGUUGGUAAGGUAACGGCUUACCAAGGCAACGAUGCGUAUCCGACCUGAGAGGGUGAUCAGCCACACUGGAACUGAGACACGGUCCAGACUCCUACGGGAGGCAGCAGUGGGGAAUAUUCGGCAAUGGGCGAAAGCCUGACGGAGCAACGCCGCGUGAGUGAUGAAGGUCUUCGGGUCGUAAAACUCUGUUAUUGGGGAAGAAAAGAUGUGUGAGUAACUGUGCACAUCUUGACGGUACCUAAUCAAAAAGCCACGGCUAACUACGUG